AUCAACCUAUAUGCAAAUUUUUAAGUAAAUGUUCAGCAGGAUCUCUAUGCUAUUGGUUUCUUCAGUUUACUUGCAAGUUCUAGUAAAAAAGUUGCGUACACAUCCUAGCCACUACUCACCUCUGGCGCCCCCACCUGUAUUCCUUCGGCAGAGCAGAUCGCGUGGAUCGGGAGGUGUGCGAGAAAUGGUGGCGCUGGCGUGGUGGGGCCGCGAGGCUCGCCAUGUUGGAGCUCAUCCGCCUCUAGCUGUCGACGACGGUUGUGGGAACCCCUGGUCGCCGUCGGGUGGCACUGUCUGCACGGCCUCUAGCAGUUCGACAAGCGCGCGUCCCUCAGUUCUAGGACGACGAGCCAGGCAGCCGCCCUCUUUGUGACCUGCUGAUUUCCUCCCCUUGCACUGGCGGACUGAUGAUGCGGGAGCCGCCCUCUUCACUCCAGCGGGCUUCUCGUACCGCCGCUGCUGCUAGUAAUGUUGCAGUGACAGAGAACUUGGUGCUGAGGAAUGGAGCGCAAGUAUGGAUGGUGCUUCCGUAAUCUUAGGCGAGCUUGCAAAUCUGUAGCACCCCUGGUGAUUUUAGUAGUGCUAUUAGUCAUGGAGUGAACAUGGACAGAUGAAUGCGUUGCUAAAUAGGGCUUCUGAAUUUCCCUUCGUAUUCAGGUUGCAAAAAUGUUCUUGUAUGAGUACAAGCUAGUCGAUCGAUCUAUCCAUUGGAUUCAGUCCAGAUGCUAGCUUAUUCUUGGCAAGUCUUGAUUUGGAGGAAAAAAUCAUGUUGACUAGCUGUUGUUAUGCCUCAAAGCAGAGACUUUAUCUUACAAUUUGAUAUCUAAUGAUGGUUUAUAAUUCUCUAAAUUUAUUUAUCCUUAUGCUCUAUUACUAGAACAUCCUUUACUUGUUUUCUGAAUUGCUAUUUGUUACUGUAAUUAAAAAUGGCAGCUUGCCAUGAAAGUGUUCUAUGAUAUGCUAGAUGUACAUCAGAAGUACUAGGUGUCUGACCUUGUGAAAAAUCUUUUUUGGUGGACAAACACAUGAGCAACACCGGUGGGGGUUUGAAGAAAAGUGAGGACGGCGUCAGCGAAGCGCCAUGUAGUUCACCUGCUCCUGCAUGACAACAUGAGUUGGAGUAGUUCAGCCCAGGCGCAUCGGCGGCGACGCCCACCAUCUAGCGCCUUGGAGAUCUGACACCUGAUGGAGCUCUUCACAUGCUGCUCUCCGACGCAUGCGUGCGUUGUUUCCACUAGAGUGUCUGGUGAAUGUUAAGAAUGUUUCAGAUAACUACAUCAGUGGCUAAAACAUGAACAUAUGAAAUAUGUACUCCCUCCGUUCCUAAAUAUUUGUCUUUCUAGAUAUU
Molecule: long non-coding RNA, 1348 nt
Organism: Triticum dicoccoides
Lineage: Eukaryota; Viridiplantae; Streptophyta; Magnoliopsida; Poales; Poaceae
Exons: 3
Source: RefSeq, a predicted model, not a curated record